This 70-nucleotide transfer RNA is filed under the name Ophiura sarsii. RNAcentral describes it as "tRNA-Asp". The record is from RNAcentral. Lineage: Eukaryota; Metazoa; Echinodermata; Ophiuroidea; Amphilepidida; Ophiuridae.
AGAGACUUAGUUAAAAAAUAACGCUGGUCUGUCAGUCCAGAAAUUGCGAAACUUGUAUCGCAGUCCCUUU